AUGAACGCUAGCUACAGGCUUAACACAUGCCAGUCGCGGGGCAGCAUGAACUUAGCUUGCUAAGUUUGAUGGCGACCGGCGCACGGGUGAGUAACACGUAUCCAACCUGCCGAUGACUCGGGGAUAGCCUUUCGAAAGAAAGAUUAAUACCCGAUGGCAUAGUUCUUCCGCAUGGUAGAACUAUUAAAGAAUUUCGGUCAUCGAUGGGGAUGCGUUCCAUUAGGUUGUUGGCGGGGUAACGGCCCACCAAGCCUUCGAUGGAUAGGGGUUCUGAGAGGAAGGUCCCCCACAUUGGAACUGAGACACGGUCCAAACUCCUACGGGAGGCAGCAGUGAGGAAUAUUGGUCAAUGGACGAGAGUCUGAACCAGCCAAGUAGCGUGAAGGAUGACUGCCCUAUGGGUUGUAAACUUCUUUUAUACGGGAAUAAAGUGAGGCACGUGUGCCUUUUUGUAUGUACCGUAUGAAUAAGGAUCGGCUAACUCCGUG
RNAcentral lists this ribosomal RNA (488 nucleotides) under uncultured bacterium. RNAcentral's name for it is "partial 16S ribosomal RNA". It matches the Rfam family "Bacterial small subunit ribosomal RNA", at positions 29 to 507 of the family's 1533-position model. The record is from RNAcentral.